CUGAAAAGUGGGAAUAAUAGGAAGACUCUCUUCAUCGCAGGCUUGUUGUGAGGACGAGAUAGUCCUAAGUCACAACAACUGUUAGCUGCUAUUCUUCCUGCUUCCAGCCUGGCCCCCUGAGGAGGGCUCCAUCUAACACCUGCCGGCCACGCCCCUCUCCCCGCCCCCAAAUCACUGCUUCAGAGAAGAGAGCAAAAGAGACAGGUUGCCCGGGAGAGCCCUUUCAUGGGGCGUGGCUCUGCCCCUAGGUCCCCAGGAGUGAUCAUAAUUUGACGUGUCACAGAGGCAGCAGCUUUAAAAGGGCAAGAACUGGACAUUCCUUCAGCAAUGGGGAUUGUUCUGUCACAUCGUGCUGCUUAAGUCUGGGAGCCAGGGUGGGAGGUACUGGGUUACAAGAAGGGAACAGGUGUGAGGGGUGACAACAUACUCAUUCAGCUUUGGACUCGUGCCUGUGGGGGUCCUGUAGGAGAUCUUGCGGACCUGUGCAGUGGGCCGUCGGAAAGGCAAGCCUGACCCUUUCAAGAGAGGUCAGGCCUGGAGACCAAGGCUGCCCAGUUUGUGGUAAUCUGUUUUGGCAGCCUUAGGAAAUGAAUACAGGAGGCCAGGCCUUUUUACCCAGUACGAUCUGUCGUUGGAUGUGGGCUGCCCCGGAAGGAAGCACGAUCCUGGGCACUGAAAGAGAACACAGGGCUGAUUCCUUGACCUUUUGCAGUUCAUAGUCUAAUGAGGAAUACGAAUAAUUACAAAGAUCCUAGCUCAGAGGAUGGACCAGGCUUCAGAUGCACAAGACUUCUUUGGAAUGUUCAUGGAAACUUUAUUUACUCAUUGGUGCUUUCUUUGGUUUCUAGGAAAGACUCUUUUACAGCCCUCAGCACUGUUAUUGCGUGAACUGGCUCAGCAUGGCCGGCCCAGUGAAGGACGCCAGUGGUAGUAACCGGGGAAGAGGGAUCCCCUGGCUCUUCUUACCAAACUUCUCCGAUCGUUUGGAGUGGUUUGGCCAUCAGUUAGUCAGGAAGAGGCCAGAAGGACACGUGCUGAUAAUGCUUCAAGAAAGUUAAACUUUAGGAAAAACUCGACCGAAGUAAAAAUAGCUAUGUAGUCAGUGACCAAAGCUACUUGGAUGGUCCUGUUGAUUGCUCUUGUGCAUUUUAUCACACGAAUACAGGCUUUCCCCUAAAAGUUGAAAAUAAAGAAGGGAAAUGUGAUGAAUGGC
This 1213-nucleotide long non-coding RNA is filed under the name Equus asinus (donkey). RNAcentral's name for it is "lncRNA (ENSEASG00005036603.1)". Lineage: Eukaryota; Metazoa; Chordata; Mammalia; Perissodactyla; Equidae. The record is from RNAcentral.